CCUACGGGAGGCAGCAGUAGGGAAUCUUUCACAAUGGGCGAAAGCCUGAUGGAGCAACGCCGCGUGCAGGAUGAAGGCCUUCGGGUUGUAAACUGCUUUUAUAAGCGAGAAAUAUGAUGGUAACUUAUGAAUAAGGAUCGGCUAACUACGUGCCAGCAGCCGCGGUCAUACGUAGGAUCCGAGCAUUAUCCGGAGUGACUGGGUGUAAAGAGUUGCGUAGGUGGCAUAAUAAGUAGCUAGUGAAAUCUGGUGGCUCAACCAUUCAGACUAUUAGCUAAACUGUUAAGCUCGAGACCGUUAGGGGUAACUGGAAUUUCUAGUGUAGGAGUGAAAUCCGUAGAUAUUAGAAGGAACACCAAUAGCGUAGGCAGGUUGCUGGGACGGUUCUGACACUAAGGCACGAAAGCGUAGGGAGCAAACGGGAUUAGAUACCCGAUUAGUC
This 442-nucleotide ribosomal RNA is filed under the name uncultured bacterium. RNAcentral describes it as "partial 16S ribosomal RNA". It matches the Rfam family "Bacterial small subunit ribosomal RNA", at positions 338 to 795 of the family's 1533-position model. The record is from RNAcentral.